AAAAUUAUAAGAGUAUACCAAACAUUACAUGCAUGUAUAUAAAUAAAAUUAUAUAGUUACAAAUAAUAUAACAUUAUGUUUACAUCAACUGUAACACUUACACACACGAACAAAAACGAUCGACGCACCAACGAACUUUAGGAGCAGUACACAUAUUUUCUGGACAAUCGGAGGGUAAUUUGCAAGGAGUGUCAGUACUUAUAAUGUCUGAUAAGAACAAAAGAAUUGUUACUAAAAGGUGACAAAAUAUUUUAUAUAAGAUAAAUUAGAUAUUUGCAAAUGGUGUGUAAAAUGACUUACUACUACUACUACUAUUGGUUGCAACAAUAAAUAGAGAAAGAAAUAUGAUCAAAACAUAAAAAUAAUAUGGAAUUUGAGCCAUAGUUUUGUUCCUUUGUAUGUAAUAAUAAAUAGAAAAUUAUUUUAUCACUAUAUAAGAAAAAAAUUUAUGCUUUGCUAACUUUAAUUAAAUAGUUUUUAACGCUUAGGAGUCGCAAGAAACCAUUCAUAAAAUAAAAAUUAUCGUUACAUGUCUCUAAAGUACUUCACUUUCAAUAUAUAUUUUUUAUUUCGUUUUUAACCUUUCAUGCAACAUAAGUAUAUCAAAUGAGAAAUAAUAGUUAUGAAAAUUGUCCUUAUAUUAUAAGUUAUUAUUAGAUGCAUUUGUUUUUUUCAAACACACCUGUCAUUAAUAUUAUUAGAAAAUGAAAAAUUAAGUUAAACACAUUAAUAUACAAAUAAUACUUUAGGAAUAUCAUUUAGGAAGAUCAUUAGGCAGAAUGGGCUUUAUAAUUUCAUUACUUAUUUUUUUUCAAGUAACUUAGUUACUAGAAAUUCCACCCUUAAGGGUGGAUAAGUGGGAUGAUCAGAGUUCGAAUCCCGGCCCCCUGUAUAUAUAAUACAAUGUCCUUGCCAACUGAACUAAAUUAACGGGACAAUUUCACUACUUAUUUUUCUUAAUGCAAUUGUUAUACUAAGUUUUAGGUUCAAGUUUAACAUUCAUUAUUUAAAUAAGUUUCACUUUUGUUUAAUUAAAAUUUUCUUCAUUUAGACCUCUUUGUAUUACUUUUAAGUCUAUACCUUUUUGUAUUACUAUCUUAUUGAAUAAUGAAAAGAUAUGAGUUUGCAUUUGUAAAACAAAAUAAAAAAUUCUUCAUUUAAACCAACAAUAAAUUGAUCCGAAUUAUAAGAAUCUAAGGCCCUUUUAGCAAGUAGUCGGGGAUUCAAUCUCCAACUCUUGUGUAUGAACCACCAAGUAGUUAGGGAUUCUUGAAAAAAAGUUUGCAUCCACAUAUUAAAAUCAAAUUUUUUUGUAUUCUUCAAUUUUUCGUAUAUUAAAAUCAGUUUGUGAAAUUUUCCGUAUUAAUAUAUCUCCACAAAUUUGAGAAAUUUUCCGUAUUAAAAUCAAUUUUUUUUCCUCUAUACCUUGAUAAUUUGAAUAUAUAUAUAGUUACCCAAUUUUCUGGUAAUUUGAAUAUAUAGUUACCCAAUUUUCUGGUCUUUGUGAUGCUCUAUCAAUGUUGUUAUUUUUUUCAUCAUGUAAUUUCUUUGCAAUGUCUUGCAUCAAGUAAUUUUUGCUAUUAACCUUACAAUUUAGCAUAUACUAUUAAAAUGUGCUUAUAGAAAUACAUUUGUUCUUCCUAUAUAUUUAUGCAUUUGAAUAGUGUAAGAAAAGAUGUAAAGACAACAAUGUUUGCCAUAGUUACAUGGAUGACAAUGUUUACUGCGUUAUUUAGCCAUGGUUACGACCGUAGCCAACACAAUUUUCUAAAUGAUAAAUAACCGUGGUCGUAAAAUUGUUACAACGCUUAAUAUUGCCGUGACAAAAAUCAAAUUUAACCGUGGCUAAAUUUUACAAUGCCAGGAUAAGCCACCCUAAAAAUUUACGUGGUAAACUUUUUUUUUUUUUUGGUCAAAACGUGGUAAACUUUAUUAGCCACAGUCAACAAUACUUUUAGGUGAGGUUUUGACCGUCGCUAAAGAGUUUUUUUUUAUUAGCCACAGUCAAUAAUACUUUUAGGUGAGGUUUUGACCGCCGCGGGAUUACAAACAGAGCGCCGGCAGUUGAAGGGUGCCGCAGUAACCGCCGGGUAACACAAAGUGACGCCGGUUCAGUACCAACUGCCACUAUUGUCUUACGCUAUAAGCUUUAUUUCUUGUAGUGAUCACCUCUGCAGGUGCAUGUCAGCGCCUGUUCAUAGUUGGCCAAUUCAUCCCAUAAAACUUUCAACUUUCCAUAGUAAGCCACCAUGGUCAUUCCUCCCUGCUUGCAUUCUGCUAGGUCAGAUUAAGUUGUUGGAUUCUAGGUCCAUUCACAACUGAAAACCUGUNNNNNNNNNNNNNNNNNNNNNNNNNNNNNNNNNNNNNNNNNNNNNNNNNNNNNNNNNNNNNNNNNNNNNNNNNNNNNNNNNNNNNNNNNNNNNNNNNNNNNNNNNNNNNNNNNNNNNNNNNNNNNNNNNNNNNNNNNNNNNNNNNNNNNNNNNNNNNUAGGUCAGAUUAAGUUGUUGGAUUCUAGGUCCAUUCACAACUGAAAACCUGUCCUUAAUGUCUUCCCACAAUUCCUUUGCAUUUUCAAAAUAUGUUAUCGUUGAGCGUAGGCUAGGCUCAAUCGUAUUUAAAAUCCAUGAUACCAACAUAGAUUGAACAGUCCACCAAUCUUCUAUUUCUUGUGAUCCGUCCUCUGGUUGCAUAAUCGCUCCAUCAACGAAGCCCCAUUUUCUUCUCGCCCUUAAGGACGUUCGCAUAGCUCGAGUCCAUUCAUCAUAAUUUUCAUCACCUCGGAGCUGCACCUGUGUGAUCACACUUCCAAGGUUGUCGUUGGAGUGCAGAUCAUAAAGAAGAUGAGUUUCUCUUGCCUAGAUCAGAUUUCAGUCGCUCUGAUUUGGCACUUGCAUCAAGUUUUGGUUGCUCUAAUUUUUCUUCCAUCACAUCCGCCAGAUAUAUUUUUCCUAGGGUUGUAUGGCUCUAUAUUAAUCAAAACUUGCUUAAUAUAGUCUAAUAUUGAACUCUAGUAAGGCAUUUUUCUGAUCAUCAUCGCUCUUCUAUUUUCUCAAGAAUUAUCUUCCCGUCAACAUGCUCUUCCGUUUAACUUUUUAAAAUUGUUUGGCUGAAAUUUGGUCUAAAACAUGCUUAAAAGAGUUGUAUGUUGUGGGAUGCCCCGUGUGAUCUUGUCUUCAGCGGAAACUUAAGCAUCUCAAGCAUGCUUUUAAAAGAGUGGAAUAAUAAUCCAAAAAAAAAAAAAGAGUGGAAUAAAAGAACCUUUGGUAAUAUAUGCAUAUCAAUGUUUCUAUGGCCAUUGAUGAGGUAAAUAGAAUUCAUCUACUUAUUGAUUUAGUUGGAAUUUUAGAUGAGUCGUUGUUAUAGGAUUAUCAGGCCCAACUUAUUCUUGCCAAAGCACUGUUCCAACAUGAUCAGUUCUACGGAGAAAAGGCGAGAGAUCAAAACAUUUUAUUUAUGAAUAGUAAGAGUUGAGUAUCUUUUGAACUCCUUAUAAUUUAAUUUUGCUUAUAAAAAAAAAUUAAAUUUAUUAAUUAAUAUGCUUAAAGAGUGUCCGGUGAAGCGGCUGAAAAAAUGCGUGGGCGGUAGUUCUGAGUAGAAAAAAGUUGAUUGGUUGAAAUGAUUUGUGUUUAGACGAAAAAAUGUGUUUGAAUGAAAAGACAGAUUCACACUUGGGCGAUGGUACCGUUUGAUAAAAAAAUAAUUAAAGCGUGCAUGGACAAGUUUGAUGAGUUUAAAUUGAUUUUAAUUCGUGGAAUACGAAUAACCGGUAGGCAAAGCGUACGCUAAGCGUCGAUCAUUCGAGAGAUGAAUGAAUGUACAUUCGUUGGUCUCCUUUCUAAACCAAUUUUAUUUAUUAAAAUUUAUUUGUGGAAGACAAAUAAUCGGUAGACAAAGCGCGCCAAGCGAUCCAUUAUUCGAGAGAUGAACGGAUGUACAUUAGCCUGUCUCCUUUUUAAUCCAAAUUUGUUUAUUGAUAAUUAUUUGUGGUAAACAAAUAAUCGGUAGACAAAGCGUACGCUAAGACGCUAAGUCUCGACCAUUCGAAAGAUGAAAGAAUGCGCCGGUCUCUUUUUUAGUCCACAUUUAUUAUAAAAAAAUUAUUUGAUGUUAAUUGACUUAAAAGAAAUGAAAUUAAAAUUAAUAUUUUUAUGCUUACUAUUGCUAUUAUAUUUUUUAUUUUAAGUUUGAAAUUGCUAUAGUUACUAGUUAGUUUAAUUUGCGAUGAUAAUUCAUACGCAGGCGUAAACAGUGGCUGUGGAAUUAUUCUUAGUUGGCUUUUGUUUAUUUUUAUUAGAAAAUGAUAAACAGUGCUCCCGGGGCACUAGUUAAAGAUACAAAUAUAGAAGUUUUAUCUCGUAAAUUGUGCAUUCAAUGUUUUAAUGAUGUGAAAAGUUAUUCUCUCUCAUCAUUAACUUUAUCAUUUGUUUCCUUUUUUAUUAUGCUUAACUAGUGCCCCAGGGGCACUGUUUAGCAUGACCCAUUUUUAUUUUAUAAUUAUAAAUCAUAUAUCAUAUUGUCUCAUUGUGAUACUACAAAACAAGUGCAAAAAGCAUAAACAGUGGUUGUGGAAUUGUUGUUCUUUUUUUUUUUCUUUCCCUCGUCCCCUUCUUCUUUGAUUGAAUAUAAUGGUAGUUCUGUGAUGGUAGUCUUUGGUUGAUGAAGGUUUGAAGGUGGUAAUGUGGUGAGUGGUGUGUUUUUUUUUCGUUUCUAUGCUUCUUGCACUUGAAACUCCUUGAACAUUCAUUUUACUAUUAAAUGAGCUAAUUCACUUAUUUGAAAGAAAUUGUGACAAAAACCAAAAUGAUAAUAAAAAAGACGCGUAAAAUUUAGGGUAAACACCCGGGAGCACUUGUUAUCAUUUUCAAUUAAAAAAUAGCUUAACAUUAAUCCCUUAUAACAUUAGGAUUUUUUAUAGCAAAAAGAAAUAUUAUAAAAAAUGAUAUUUGAUUGUUUAUAAGGAUCGAACUGUGUCCCUUUUAAGUUGUUUUUAUUUUCUUUUUGACAAAAUCUCUUUUAAGUUGUUAGUGGUGCAUAAAACAAAAUAUCAUAAAAUUAAUAUUUGGUUGUUAUUGAGAAUUGAAUCGUGUCCAAUUAGAUUGUUGGUAGUACAAACUAAAAUAUCAUAAAAAUUGGUAUUUGGUUGUUGAUGGGAUUGAAACCACGUUCAUUUCACUAAAGCUUUGCCUAGUGCUAUAUUAUUGUUAGGUAAGGAGAAGACACGUAAGUGCCAUGUUGAAAUAAGUUACAGAGAGAAUGUCACUUGUGAAUUUGCUCCUCGAGAAAAAACUUGAAAAUAGAUAUUCAACAAAAGAUCAUUAAUUGGUUCUUUUUCAAAUGGAGAACGGCAACACAACCACAUCUUUAUUAUUAUUAUUGUAACCUAAAUUAACUAUUGAAAGGUAAACAAAACAUAAAGAAAAGUGUGAGAAAAAUUCUAAGAGUAUCAAAUACUACACGGAUAAAUAAAAUUAUACUGUUACGUACAAACAAUAUAAAAUUAUUUCUGAACUUAUCUGUAAAACUUAUGCGCAUUCACAAUAACCUUGAACGCACCAUGGAAUUACACGUAUGUGAGGAUGCUUACACAUAUUUUCAGGACAAUCCAAGGGUAUUUUGCAGGGAAAAUUAGUACGUAUAAUGUCUGAUAUAAACAAAACAAUUGUUACUAAAAGGACAUAGAGUAUUUUAUAUCAAAUAAAUUAGAUAUUUGCAAAUGGUAUGUUAAAUGACUUACAACUGCUACUCCUAGUUGCAAUAAGAAAUAGUGAAAGAAAUAUGAUCAAAAUAUAAAAGUAAUAUGGAAUUUGAGCCAUAUUUUUCUCCUUUGUAUAUGUGUAAUAAACAGAAAAUUAUUUGAUCACUAUAUAAGAAAAAAAUUCAUACUUUGCUAAUUUCAACCAAAUAGUUUUUAGCAUUUAGGAGUUGCAAGAAACUAUUUAUAAAAUAGAAAUUAUUGUUACGUGGCUCUAAAGUAUAUCAAAAUAUCAUCUUUGUCUCUUUCAUUAAUUCAAUGCAUUACUUGACGUUCAAUAUUUUUUAUUUUUUAUUUAUUUCUCUUUUCACAUUUCAUCAUAGAGAACUUAAACAUAUCGAAUGAGAAAUAAUUGUGAUGAUAAUUAUAAGUUACCUUUUAAAAAAUUUAAUUUCAUAAUAUUGAGUUUUAUGUAUAAACUUAUUAUUAUAUGUUAAGUAAAUUACACUCUCCUUUCAUAAGAGAAGCCUGAAUUACAAUCUUCGUCUUCUCUUAUUUGAAAAUAUUAAUUUUAAUCUAUUAUAGCAUAAAUAUUUUAUGAUAACAAUUAAGUUUAUACCCACCAGUUUAUUUUAUUUAUGUAAAACAAACUUUAAUCAUCAUUAAUUAUAUCCUUUGUUUUAUAGUGUAAUUUAAUCAUCUCUCAAAGAAUGAGAGCGUAAUUUACUCUUAAAUAUUUUCUUAAUCUAUCUCUUCAAAUAGGUAAGAGUUUAUUUACUAGUUUCUAUUAAAUCAAAUCUCAUUAAAAUAUCACAUUUUGGAAACCAAUGAGCUAUUGGGCAAACAUACUUGAACCCAAACUUACAAAAAUUUGACUAUAGAGGCGGGAUAGAUAGUUUAACUGGUUAAGCUAGUUGAUAUAAGGGUUAAAGGAGUUGAAGGUCCAGAGUUCAAGUAAAGAGAAAAAAAACUGAAAUAACAUUGUAAUAUACUAACAAUUAACAAUCUGUCUUUUAAAAAAAAAAUUGACUAUAAUAUACUUCUUCUUUCCGCGCCCUCCACCAUUUCUCCCGUGCCACCUGAAAUUACAGAAAUACCCUCUCACAUUUUGGAUGCCCAUCUGAUAAAUUUGUACUGGAUGAGUACAGGGGCCACAUUGCAAGAUGUAUAUACGCAGAUUAUGUAAGUUACUUAAUUGUCUUACAAAUUGAUUGUCUAAUUAUGAGGUAAUUGUCUCAUUUGUAUGAUUAUGAUUUAAUUGUAUGAUUAGUAUGUUAUGUUUAUUUGGCACAUACCGGUACCCUUGAAGGUCUCUAUUUUUGCGUGACGUUUACUGUGGGAUCGACUGCCCACUAAAGCCAACCUGGUUACCCGGGGCAUCUUAUCGUCUACAACUCUCUCUUGUGUCUCUGGAUGUGGAGAGGUCGAGUCGGCCCAUUACUUGUUCCUUUCCUGUAGUACUUUUGGUUCUCUUUGGGCUUUGGUUCGCUCGUGGAUUGACAUUCCUAUGGUGGACUACAUUACUUUGUGUGAUCAUUUUGUCCAGUUCACUUCUUCAACGGGAGUUUCUCGAGCACGACGGUCUUUCCUGCAGCUUAUUUGGCUUGCUUUUGUUUGGGUUAUGUGGAUGAAGAGAAAUCAUAGAUUAUUCAGCGGCUCAACAAGUACUCUUCAUCAAUUGGUGGAUAAGAUCAAACUGUUUUCCUAUAGGUGGUUGAAGACUACGAGUUGUGUGACUUUAGUCUCAAACUACCAUAGCUAGUGGUCUAAUCCUUUACUUUGUUUGGGCCUUGUAUGAUUUAUUUAUGGUUUUUUUCCUUGACUCUUUGUAAAUAUUUGUAGUCGAUCUCGGUAAACCUUGUGCUAUGGGAGACUGUUUUAUUAAUAUAUAUCUCAUUUUGUCUUGUUCAAAAAAAAGUAUGUUAUGUUUAUUGGUUUUGUAGAAUCGUGGAUUGAUAAAAAUUGUCAGCAACGGGAAUAAGUUGAUAAAUUUGAGUAAAAUGGUUCCAACCAAUGAGGAGUGGUGGGAUCAAACCAUUAGGAAUACAUGGAUAUGUCUUUUGCAUCUCACCGUUGAGAGGCAAAUCACUCAUCAUGAAACAAAUCUCCAAAUACAUCAAAGUAAGGCAACNNNNNNNNNNNNNNNNNNNNNNNNNNNNNNNNNNNNNNNNNNNNNNNNNNNNNNNNNNNNNNNNNNNNNNNNNNNNNNNNNNNNNNNNNNNNNNNNNNNNNNNNNNNNNNNNNNNNNNNNNNNNNNNNNNNUUGAUAAAUUUGAGUAAAAUGGUUCCAACCAAUGAGGAGUGGUGGGAUCAAACCAUUAGGAAUACACGGAUAUGCAGCUUAACCAACACAGGUUUCUCAUUUUUUGACCGGUCACUGUUGACAAAUUUUUUGAAUAGGUGGCAUGGGGAGACCAUCCACUUCCAUUUUCCUUGUGGGGAGAUAACAGUCACUCUAGAUCACGUGUACUGUGUCUUUUGCAUCUCACCGUUGAGAGGCAAAUCACUCAUCAUGAAACAAAUCUCCAAAUACAUCAAAGUAAGGCAACUAAGGCCACAUGGAAACAAAUCCGAAUAGUAAAGCAUCAAAGUCAUGAAACAUAAAUUUCUUAUUAUAGAUAUUCAAUAUCUCAAAGUCAUAAUACAAAAGAAAAUUCUAUAAAAAUAUAUUGCCUUUUAGGACUUACUCCAACAUCUUCAAAGUGCAUAUUGGUCCUUGGAGUUUCUUUGGUGAUUUUAAUGCCAUAUUGGGUGCUCAUGAGAAAUGUGGAAAGCGUCCUUCGUGAUGAUUUUUUUGACUUGGUCUAACUUCUGGUGUGCGAUUAACAAGGAACAACGAAAGGAUGGGUGGAGAUUACGUUGAUCUUCGUUUUGAUAAAACUAUUUAUAAUAUGGAUUGAAUUAACCUGUUGCAAAAGACCUCUUCUAUAUUUUCUCAAGAAUUAUCUUCCCGUCAACAUGCUCUUCUGAUCCGUUUGGUAAUGGGCUUCGGCUAAAAUGAAAGAGUUGGACGAUGGUGCACCAGAUGUCAAUAACUUUAUAACGAAUACAAAUUUUACAAAAUUAAUCGUUGGAUUGAAAGUUUAGAUCAUGUGAAUUAUCAAUACAAAUUUUUAAAAAAAUUGAAAGUCAUUUGAUAUGUUAUUGAGACUCAUCAAAAUUAACGGUUUAUAUAAAUUUUUAUUUAAUACCAAUAAUCUUAAGUAUGAUAUAAACUUUCAAUCUAAUAAUCAAUUUUAUAAAACGGUUUACUGACUUUAUAAAAAACAGAAAAACGAAUUUUCAAAAUUGGCAACGAAUUAAAUUANNNNNNNNNNNNNNNNNNNNNNNNNNNNNNNNNNNNNNNNNNNNNNNNNNNNNNNNNNNNNNNNNNNNNNNNNNNNNNNNNNNNNNNNNNNNNNNNNNNNNNNNNNNNNNNNNNNNNNNNNNNNNNNNNNNNNNNNNNNNNNNNNNNNNNNNNNNNNNNNNNNNNNNNNNNNNNNNNNNNNNNUACCAAGUUUCCUCUUAUUCCUUCAUCAUGUUCCAACAAAUUCGUAUUCGUUACUUGUACUCCAUGCACCACUUGACACACUUGUAAGUAGCCUUGCUAACGUGCAUACCAAAGCACUGAUCCAACAUGAUCAGUUGUGGAGUGAAAAGGCGAGAUCAUAACAUUUUAUUUAUGGAGAUCGAAAUACUUCCUAGCUAGCUAUUUCCAUGGGGACUAUGAUUUAAUUUUAUCAGAAUGAAUGAACUAAGAAUUUAUGAAACAAAUUAAAGGUUCCACAAAGCAAAUUAAUGUUAUUAUAGACGGUGAGAUUAUUCACGAGGUCCCCCUCUUCAUUUAAUUAUGUUUUUAAUUUAAGAAACAAUAAAAUAUUUUAAAUAAUAAAUAUAAAAAAAUUAAAUUGACAUGAUAAAAUUGUGAAUUUUAUAAAAUAGGGGAUGAAAACAACAUUUAAGCCAAAAAUAUAGGCUUAAUUAUAUAUUUGGUCCCUUAUGUUUAUUUUAAGUUUCAAUUUAGUCUCUUAAGUUUAAAAAGUUUCAAGUUUGUCAUUUUAGUCAAAUUUUUAUACGUGGACAAUUUAGGAUGGUGUCACCUGAAAGUUUUAGACGAAAUUAAUUUAAAAUUUAACAGAAAGUUAGAUGAAGUUAACUCAAAAAAUUUAAUAAAAAGAACAAUUUAUGUUGAAAUCAUAAUGACCAAAUUGAAACUUUUAAAACAUAGAUGACUAACUUGAAACCUAAAAUAAAGAUAAGAGACCAAAUAUGCAAUUAAGCAAAAAAUAAAUUAUAUUUUAUGUUUUUUACAAAUUAUAGAUCAUAAUUAAAAAAUGUUUUGCUAACGUGUGCCCCGUAACGGGACACUCUUAAAACAUUCCAUUUAAUGAGAUAACAUAUUGAAAAAGUGAAUCAUUUCAAUUUCUAAUAUUAACUUCACACAUUUUUAUAAAAAGUUUACAAAAACAUACUAUUUAGAAUGCUUAAGAGUGUCCGGGGGCACUCGUUAGCAUUUUCCAUUCAAAAAUAGCUUAACAUUAGGAUUUUUUAUAGCAAAAAAAAUUAUAAAAAUUAAUAUUUGGUUGUUGACUCUUCCAUUCAAAAAUUACUAUAGUAUUUAGGAUGCUUAAGAGUGUCUAUAUGACCCUUUAGGUUGUUAGUAGUGCAUAUAACAAAACAUCAUAAAAUUAAUAUUUAAUUGUUACUGAGAAUUGAACCGUAUUUGGUUGUUGAUGAGAUUGGAACCACGUCCAUUUCACUAAAGUUUCGCCUAAUACUAUAUUAGUGUUAAUGUAAGGAGAAGACACGUAAGCGUCAUGUUGAAAUAAGUUUCCGGAAGAUUGUGAAUUUGUUCCUUGAUAAAAAACUUGAAAAUAACUUAUGUAUUAUUUGCUUUGAGCAAGACAAAGAUAGAUAGAUAGAUAGAUAGAUAGAUAGUACACUUUUAAUUUAUUCAACAAAAGUUGAUUAAAAAAAAAAUUAUUCAACAAAAGGUCCUUCGUCCUUUUUCAAAUGAGGAGUGGCAACACAACCACAUCAUUAUUAUUGUAACCUAAAUUAACUAUUGCAAGAUAAACAAGACAUAAAGAAAAGUGUGAGAAAAAUUCUAAAAGUAUCAAAUAUUACACGUAUAAAUAAAAUUAUACUGUUAAAAACAAUAUAAAAUUAUUUUUAAACUUAUCUGUAACACUUUACCCGCACUCACAAUAACCUUGAAUGCACCAUUGAAUUCUAGGAUACAUACACAUAUCUUCUGGACAAUCCAACGGUAUUUUGCAGGGAGAAUUAGAACUUAUAACGUCUGAUAAAAACAAAAGAAUUGUUACUAAAAUGACAUGGAGUAUUUUAUAUCAAAUUUAUUAGAAUUUGCAAAUGGUAUGUAAAAUGACUUACAACUACUACUAUCGGUUGCAAUAAGAAAUAGAGAAAGAAAUAUGAUCAAAAUAUAAAAGUAAUAUGGAAUUUGAGCCAUAUUUUUCUCCUAUGUAUGUAAUAAAUAGAAAAUUAGUUGAUCAUUAUAUAAGAAAAAAUUUCA
RNAcentral lists this long non-coding RNA (11206 nucleotides) under Trifolium pratense (red clover). RNAcentral describes it as "long non-coding RNA (TPRA_LNC005533)". Lineage: Eukaryota; Viridiplantae; Streptophyta; Magnoliopsida; Fabales; Fabaceae. The record is from RNAcentral.